This 207-nucleotide long non-coding RNA is filed under the name Elaeis guineensis (African oil palm). Its description in RNAcentral is "long non-coding RNA (EGUI_LNC070145)". The record is from RNAcentral. Lineage: Eukaryota; Viridiplantae; Streptophyta; Magnoliopsida; Arecales; Arecaceae.
GGUUAUCUUGAAUCCAAUCGAAUUUCUUUAAACUCAAUUGAUAAUUCAUAAGUCCAAUUAUUUAUUUCAGGCCUAAUUCUUUUGUUGUAUCAUCCCAUAAGUUUAAUUUUAUCUAGUAGUGAGAUAUACAAUGAUUUCUCUCAAAGUAUCAUUGAAACUCUUUUCAAUAGAUCAGAAUAAUUUCACUCUAACUCAUCAAGGAUUGUC